UGUCUCAAAGAUUAAGCCAUGCAUGUGUCAGUAUAAGCAAUUAUAUAGUGAAACUGCGAAUGGCUCAUUAAAUCAGUUAUUGUUUAUUUGAUAUUUUUUUACUACUUGGAUAACUGUGGUAAUUCUAGAGCUAAUACAUGCAAAAAACCCUGACUUACGAAAGGGUGGUAUUUAUUAGAUAUUAAACCAAUACUCUUCGGAGUUCCUGGUGAAUCAUAAUAACUUUACUCAGCGUAUGGCCCUGUGCUGGCGCGAAAUCAUUCAAAUAUCUGCCCUAUCAAGUUUCGAUGUGAGGGUAGUGUCCUCACAUGCUUUUGACGGGUAACGGGGAAUUAGGGUUCGACUCCGGAGAGGGAGCCUGAGAAACGGCUACCACAUCCAAGGAAGGCAGCAGGCGCGCAAAUUACCCAAUCCCAACAUGGGGAGGUAGUGACAAGAAAUACUGAUACAGGGACCUUUUGGUUCUUGUGAUUGGAAUGAGUACAAUUUAAACCCAUUAACGAGGAACAACUAAAGGGCAAGUCUGGUGCCAGCAGCCGCGGUAAUUCCAGCUUUAGUAGCAUACAUUAAAAUUGUUGCAGUUAAAACGCCCGUAGUUGAAGUUUGGGCUUGGUUGGCCGGUCUGCCUCACCGCAUGAACUGGUUUAACUGGGUCUUUUCUCUUGGGAACUCUUCAGUCUCCGGAUUGAUAGAGCAUACCAGGACUUUUACUUUGAAAAAAUUAGAGUGUUCAAAGCAGGCUUUUGCUCGAAUAUCUUAGCAUGGAAUAAUGAAAUAUGACAUGUAGUUGUAUUUUGUUGGUUUAUAUAAUUACUGUAAUGAUUGAUAGGGAUGGUUGGGGGCAUCGGUAUUUGUUCGUCAGAGGUGAAAUUCUUGGAUUGAACAAAGACCAACUGCUGCGAAAGCAUUUGCCAUGGAUGUUUUCAUUAAUCAAGGACGAAAGUUAAGUGAGCGAAAACGAUCAGAUACCGUUGUAGUCUUAACUGUAAACGAUGCCGACUAGGGAUCGGGCGGAGUCUUUUUUAAUGACUCGUUCGGCACCUUGUGAGAAAUCAGAGUUUUUAGGUUCU
This 1070-nucleotide ribosomal RNA is filed under the name Cantharomyces bledii. RNAcentral's name for it is "SSU rRNA". It matches the Rfam family "Eukaryotic small subunit ribosomal RNA", at positions 33 to 1115 of the family's 1831-position model. The record is from RNAcentral. Lineage: Eukaryota; Fungi; Ascomycota; Laboulbeniomycetes; Laboulbeniales; Laboulbeniaceae.